CGCCUUUUUUUAAACUCGGGCGCCUUCCGCUCCCCCUUUCCAGCCCGAUAUAUCCCCGCGGUGACUCAGAGGGAGGAAAAAAAAACAAAAAAACGCAUUUUUGGUAAACAGGACACAUCUGGCUGCCCGGGGCCGGGGAGGGGGGCUAAAUCCAGAUGUUUGGGGCCCGGCGCUGGGGCCGAUUUUAACCCACUUCUGCUCCGAAAAUGACUCAGCGGCCCGAAAAGCGUGGGAAAGCGGCCGUGCGGGCAACGAAGAAAACUUAAAAAAAGAAAAUAAAAAGGUGUCUUUUACCAAAAACGCGAGGUUUGGGUUCGGUCACCCGCGUGGCGGCCUUCCUGGCAGCUCGGGGCUUGCAAGGAAAAUGGGGGGAAAAGGGGUUUUUUUCUGUUUGCAACGGGACGGAGAGUGGGGUGCAACGCACCAGAGCGCCCGCGGUUGGUUGCAAGGGGAAAUUGGGGUGUUUUUCUGCAACGGGACGGAGAGUGGGGUGCAACGCCAAGGGGAAGGACUCGGCCGACGGAAACGGGACGAGGCUUGGUUUUAUUCCUCGCGUUUUUCCGCCCUUCGGGAGGCCUGGAGCCGUCACAGGACCUGGGAGAGACACCGAGGGCUGGUCAGUCCCCGGUCGGCCGAAAGGCCCGCAGUUAUUGCUUACUCGUCGCUGGCGCGUAGAGGCGGCCGCAGUUACCUUGAAGAGGGUGACGCCGGUGCUGUAGCAAAGGCUGAGGAGGAAGAGGAGGACGAAGGUCACGGCGGUCCAGAGGUUGGUGACGUCUUCCUCGCCCUCGGCCGGGGCGUCCUCGCCGAGCACGACGAAAACGCAGUCUGGGGGGAUUUGGGGGUAGGGGGGGAGGAGAGGAGGCGUCCGGGGGGCAACCGAGACCCCCGAUUGCACCCGUUUCCGUCACGCUCCCGCUCCGAAGAACUCGCUGUGCAACGGGGAAUUUUGGUGCAUGCAGCAAAACCCUCGAUUGCACCCGUUUUCUACCCAGUCCUGCUCCAAAGCUCGCUGCAAGCAGAGGGGCCAUGGGGAUGUUUGGUGCAUGCAGCAAAACCCUCGAUUGCACCCGUUUUCUACCC
Molecule: long non-coding RNA, 1083 nt
Filed under: Struthio camelus australis
Lineage: Eukaryota; Metazoa; Chordata; Aves; Struthioniformes; Struthionidae
Description: lncRNA (ENSSCUG00000012443.1)
Source: RNAcentral